GACGAACGCUGGCGGCGUGCUUAACACAUGCAAGUCGAACGGAAAGGCCCUGCUUUUGUGGGGUGCUCGAGUGGCGAACGGGUGAGUAACACGUGAGUAACCUGCCCUUGACUUUGGGAUAACUUCAGGAAACUGGGGCUAAUACCGGAUAGGAGCUCCUGCUGCAUGGUGGGGGUUGGAAAGUUUCGGCGGUUGGGGAUGGACUCGCGGCUUAUCAGCUUGUUGGUGGGGUAUUGGCUUACCAAGGCUUUGACGGGUAGCCGGCCUGAGAGGGUGACCGGCAACAUUGGGACUGAGAUACGGCCCAGACUCCUACGGGAGGCAGCAGUGGGGAAUAUUGCACAAUGGGCGGAAGCGUGAUGCAGCAACGCCGCGUGCGGGAUGACGGCCUUCGGGUUGUAAACCGCUUUCGCCUGUGACGAAGCGUGAGUGACGGUAAUGGGUAAAGAAGCACCGGCUAACUACGUG
RNAcentral lists this ribosomal RNA (468 nucleotides) under uncultured bacterium. RNAcentral's name for it is "partial 16S ribosomal RNA". It matches the Rfam family "Bacterial small subunit ribosomal RNA", at positions 28 to 507 of the family's 1533-position model. The record is from RNAcentral.